GGCCCUGCGGCGACUACGCCGCCUGGCGGAUGGCUUGGCUCGGGUGCCGAAGAAGGGCGCGGCAAGCGGCGAUAUUCCUGGGGGAGGCGCAAGCAGCCUUAGAACCCAGGGAUCCCGAAUGGGACUUCCUACAUGGAGUUAACAGCUCCAUGUGUCCCGUAAGGGACGGGAACUCCCCGAACGGAAACAUCUUAGUAGGGGAAGGAAGAGAAAUCAAUCGAGAUCCCCUUAGUAGGGGCGACCGAAAGGGGGAGAGCCCAAACCAAUUCCCUACAGGACAACUGUGGGGAGAUGAGGGGUCACCGCCUCCAUAGCUGGGUUCAAAGCCCAGCAGGCCUAGGCAUGAUAGCCGAAUGACCUGGAAAGGUCAGCCGUAGAGGGUGAUAGCCCCGUAGGUGAAAUCAUGCAGGCCUGCGCUAUGGAGGAGAGUACUACGGCUCGGUUUUGCCGUAGGAAGGUGGGGGGCACCAACCUCCAAGGCUAAACACAACCCGAGACCGAUAGCGUACUUAGUACCGUGAGGGAAAGCUGAAAAGAACCCCUUGUCGGGGGGUUAAAAGAGCCUGAAACCAGGCGGUUACAAAGGGUAUGGCUCUAAAGGGAUGAAGGGUCCGAAGGAAACCUGGGCGACCAGGAAGUACGAGGAUUCCCAACCGGAGUCAUACCUUCCGUCUUGAAACACGGGCCGGGGAGUUUACGGUCGUGGCAAGCCUAAAGGGAUUAACCCUGAAGGCGGAGGGAAACCGAUAUGCCCGCAGCCAGCUUUGCUGGUAAGGGGCAAGGUCUUAACGGGCCUGUAGUCACGGCCGUAAAACCCGAAACCGAGCGAUCUAGGCGGGGGCAGGGCGAAGCCGGGGGAAACCCCGGUGGAGGCCCGAAAGGGUUCUGACGUGCAAAUCGUUCCCAUGACCUCUGCCUAGGGGUAAAAGGCCAAUCUAGCUCGGUGAUAGCUGGUUCCUGCCGAAGUGUGUCGCAGCACAGCCCCGCUGGAGGCAAGCUGUGGGGUAGAGCUACGGAUUGGGUGAGCAGAGGGCGAAAGCCCUCGCAGCCCAGUCAAACUCCGAACCUGCAGCUACCGAAGAAGGCGGGAGUGGGGUUCCUCGGCAUAAGGCUGAGGGCCGAGAGGGGCUCAACCCGGACCAAGGUUAAGGCCCCUAAGUGCCGGCUAAGUGCUAAGGGAAAAGGCGUCCCUUGCCUAAGACAGCGGGGAGGUGGGCCCAACAGCAGCCAUCCUCUAAGGAGUGCGUAACAGCUCACCCGCCGAGGCAAGGGGCCCUGAAGAUUAGUCGGGGCUUAAGCCGGCCGCCGAGACCUUGGAUUACCCUCAUUAUGAGGGUAUAUAGUAGGCAGGCGUCGGGAUGGCGCAGAAGUAGGGCCGUGAGGUCCUAUGGAGCCGUUCCGAGUGCUGAUCCCGGCGGUAGUAGCAGCGAAGCGGGGUGGGAAUCCCCGCCGCCGUAAGGGCCAGGGUUCCCCGGCAACGAUCGUCGGCCGGGGGUUAGCCGGUCCUAACCGGAUGCGUAACUCGACAUCCGGGAAAGGGAAACGGGUUAAUAUUCCCGUGCCGUGGGGGUACGUUUCGGGGCAACCCAAGGCCUAGCUUCCGACGUCUUAGGGUAGGCGGACUGGAGGCCUCCUUAAGGGGGCGAUCCAGCUAACUUCUUAAGGCCGGGAAGUGCUGUAAUAGCGAGAACCGGCUGAAGGAAGGAAUGGCCUGCGUUAGCGGGUUCCGCUGAGCCCCAGGACCCAUGAAAAGGAAGCUAGGAAGGAUCCUCCACGACCGUACCGAGAACCGACACAGGUGCCCCUGGGUGAGGAGCCCAAGGCGUAGGGGGGUUAACCUAGGCUAGGGAACUCGGCAAACUAGCCCCAUAACUUCGGGAUAAGGGGUGCCUGCGAUUCUUAGCUGAAACUAGGAAUCGCAGGUCGCAGUAACAAGGGGGACCUGACUGUUUAACAAAAACAUAGCUCCCCGCUAGCCCGAAAGGGUUUGUACGGGGGGUGAAUCCUGGCCACUGGUGGUAGGUGAAACCCGGGUUCAACCGGGCGAAGCCCCACUGAAGGCCGGGGGUAACCCUGACCCUCUUAAGGUAGCCAAAUGCCUUGUCGGGUAAGUUCCGACGCGCAUGAACGGAUCAACGAGGUCCCCGCUGUCCCGGCCUGGGGCCCCGCGAACACGCUGAGCGGGUGCAUAGUCCCGCAACCUCCUGCAGGGCGAGAAGACCCCGUGGAGCUUCACCGCAGCCUGACGCUGACUCUCGAGCGGAGCCGCGUAGUGUAGGUGGGAGCCAUUGAGUUACCUCCUUCGGGAGGUAAUGAGGCGACAAUGAAACACCACCCGUCUCUGCUUGAGGGCCUAACCCGAAAGGGGACAACGUUAGGUGGGCGGUUCGGCUGGGGCGGCACGCCUGCGAAAAAGUAACACAGGCGCCCAAAGGUCGGCUCAGGUGGGUCAGAAACCCGCCGUAGAGCGUAAGGGCAAAAGCCGGCCUGACCGGAUCCUUGAUGGCAAGGGAUCCGGACGGGAAACCGCGGCCUAGCGCACGCUCGUGCCCCUCUUGGUGGGGGCCGGGCACGACGGAAAAGUUACCCCGGGGAUAACAGAGUCGUCGCGGGCGAGAGCUCCUAUCGACCCCGCGGUUUGCUUCAUCGAUGUCGGCUUUUCCCAUCCUGGGAGUGCAGCAGCUUCCAAGGGUGGGGCUGCCCGCCCAUUAAAGGGGAACGUGAGCUGGGUUCAGACCGUCGUGAGACAGGUCGGUCUCUACCCGCAGGAGGUGCAGGCCGUCUGAGGGGGAGGUACCCCUAGUACGAGAGGAACGGGGUGCCGUGGCCUCUAGUGUACCGGUUGUCCUGAGGGGCAAUGCCGGGCAGCCACGCCAUAAGGGGUUAUCGCUGAAGGCAUCUAAGCGAGAACCCUUCCCCGAAAAGAGACGGCCAUCUGCCUUCCAGUGAAAACUGGAGGACAGCGAGGGCUCCCGUAAAAUACGGGUUUGAUGGGGUGGGGGUGUAAGUCGCGAGGGCGAAAGCUCGAGCGAUUCAGCCCGCCACUCCCAACAGCCCGAGGCUGCAGGUCA
Ribosomal RNA from Caldisphaera lagunensis DSM 15908, 3071 nucleotides. It matches the Rfam family "Archaeal large subunit ribosomal RNA". The record is from Rfam. NCBI's taxonomy places the organism in Archaea, Thermoproteati, Thermoproteota, Thermoprotei, Acidilobales, Acidilobaceae.